UAGGGAAUCUUCCGCAAUGGACGCAAGCCUGACGGAGCAACGCCGCGUGUGUGAAGAAGGAUUUCGGUUCGUAAAACUCUGUUGUUAGAGAAGAACAGCGCAUAGAGUAACUGUUAUGCGUGUGACGGUAUCUAACCAGAAAGCCACGGCUAACUACGUGCCAGCAGCCGCGGUAAUACGUAGGUGGCAAGCGUUGUCCGGAUUUAUUGGGCGUAAAGCGAGCGCAGGCGGUCAAUUAAGUCUGAUGUGAAAGCCCCCGGCUCAACCGGGGAGGGUCAUUGGAAACUGGUUGACUUGAGUGCAGAAGAGGAGAGUAGAAUUCCAUGUGUAGCGGUGAAAUGCGUAGAUAUAUGGAGGAACACCAGUGGCGAAGGCGACCCUCUGGUCUGUAACUGACGCUGAGGCUCGAAAGCGUGGGUAGCAAACAGG
RNAcentral lists this ribosomal RNA (429 nucleotides) under Bacteroidota bacterium. RNAcentral's name for it is "Bacteroidetes bacterium partial 16S ribosomal RNA". It matches the Rfam family "Bacterial small subunit ribosomal RNA", at positions 355 to 776 of the family's 1533-position model. The record is from RNAcentral. Lineage: Bacteria; Pseudomonadati; Bacteroidota.